Molecule: ribosomal RNA, 394 nt
Filed under: Silvestritermes minutus
Lineage: Eukaryota; Metazoa; Arthropoda; Insecta; Blattodea; Termitidae
Description: partial 16S ribosomal RNA
Source: RNAcentral
CAAAAACAUCUUUUCUCGUUAGUUUUUGAAGUAUGGCCUGCCACUGACUUUGAGUUGAAGGGCCGCGGUAUUUUGACCGUGCAAAGGUAGCAUAAUCAUUAGUUCUUUAAUUGUGAUCUGGUAUGAAUGGCUUGACGAGACAUUAGCUGUCUUAUGGGUAUUGUUAAUUGAAUUUAGUUUUUGAGUUAAAAUUCUUAAAUGUUUUUAUGGGACGAGAAGACCCUAUAGAGUUUGACACCUUACUUGCUAUAUUUUAUUGGUUGGGUUUUAUUUUUAGUUGAGUGGGGUGGUUUGUUGGGGGGAUGAGAGGAUUGUUUUUAACUCCCCUUUGAUUUUUAUAUAUUUAUUAUAUUUGUUUGAUCCAUGUAUUUUGAUUAUAAAAAUAAAUUUCCUU